Molecule: long non-coding RNA, 1638 nt
Organism: Cyprinus carpio (common carp)
Lineage: Eukaryota; Metazoa; Chordata; Actinopteri; Cypriniformes; Cyprinidae
Source: Ensembl
AUGCGAUUCCUGCUCCGUCUCAGUGUGUUGUCGUUGCACGGGCAAUGGCGGACGGAGCCCGAGCAUUUGUUUGAAAAACGUACGUUUUGCACAAAUAUACUCGAAUAUCGAUCGGCCAGUCAAAGCGUUCAGCUCGCACGUGUGUUUUUGGCCCUGAUCAGAUCUGCGCCCGUCAGCAUGGAUGUGAAUCUGACCAUCUCUCUGAUGCGGGGCCAGAUGGGCGCUGUUAUCGAGAAAGCCGUGAACGUCGCGGUGGAGACCGUGUUAGGAGAGAUGAUCCGGGUGGUCGGGCUCAAAUUUGAGGAGAUCAAACGUGAUAUGACAGCUAAAGAGAAGGAGAAUGAGAACAUCAGGAGGAUGUUGGAGGCGUCCCGCUGUCAGAUGAAAACCAUGCGCAAGUACAUCAGCGUCCUGUCUGCUAAAGACCCCAACCAUAGACUGUAUCAGGGAGAUGGAGACAUGGCUACAACAUCCACAGGGAUGCACUGCAGAAGAGGGCCGACGAGCACUGUGUCAGUGUGUGCCACAACCCCAGUCCCCUGUCCCAGACCCAGACCCUCUGAGCCAGCCCCUGUAGCUGGACCCUCAUGGGUGAGACAGCAGAUGCACAUGUCCAAAGAAACAGUAAGAAGUGAGAAUCACAUUGCUGAUGUCCAUAUUGAAGAGAUCCAUGGAUCAUCAGUUCAUAAAGUUGAUAUCUCAAGCCCUCAUCUGGUGGACAGUCAGGCGCUUCUGUCUGAGACCAGUGAUCCAGUAUGGGGUCAGAACCCUCUCACCUCUGCAGAGACUGGGCACUCAGAUGAAAGUGUGUCAUCCCAAACUACAAGCACAGUGGGAUUUGGAGCACCUUCACUUAAAAUCAAACAGGAGGAAGCUGAGGUUGAAAUAGUCUGUGUGAAGGAUGAACACGCAGAAUCUGGCAACAUCCCUAGAUUUGAAUAUUCUGACCCUGAACUUCACCAGCCAGCGGGAGAACCAGAGCUCGGGGUCUCACUAGAUCUACCCGCAUCAUUUCAAGCUCUUCAGAGUCCAAGCACUUCAGCAGACUUUGCACUCCCAGCAUUCAUGAGUGUGGACCCAGCUACCUAUGACGACUCUCAGCUGUCUGUGGUAGGGGUCCAAAAGCAGGUGCGUCCGAGACGCAAGGACCUGAAUCUGUAUGAAGAAUACAAACGCAGCCGAACUCUGAGAGGCCAUAACACAAACCGAGGCAUUAGUACAAACCGACGGCGUGAGCUGGAGCAGACUCUACCGCAGGCUCUACUUGCAGACUUGGUAAGGGAACGAAGGGAAAAGACUCGUCUUCGAGUGGCCCGCUGGCGUGCCAAACGCAAAUUACAAGCCUGUCUGAUGGCCUCGCAGGCUGCGCAGUUUAGCGGCGCUCCUGUGCAGAGUUCACCUGCCCAGCGUGGAGGCCUGAUCUCCACCCACAGGCGAGGUGGAGUGACGGCGCAGCGCGGUGGGCUUGGAUUGAGAAGGGGACUGUCAGAGACUGCCACAUAUAACCUGCUGCUGCAGCUGGGGCCCAGUCCUACUCAAUCAACAGCGCCACACGCCAUCAGUGAGGGUCUCAUGCCAUCUGGCCCCUCAGCGUUAUCACACCACAGAACCACUGCACCGAGAUCAACUUACCAAUGA